This is a non-coding RNA of Podarcis lilfordi (Lilford's wall lizard), 390 nucleotides long. The record is from the annotation of a GenBank genome assembly. NCBI's taxonomy places the organism in Eukaryota, Metazoa, Chordata, Lepidosauria, Squamata, Lacertidae.
CUCAGUACCCCUAACUCCCAUUAUUAUUAUUAUUAUUAUUAUUAUUAUUAGGGCGGGGAGCCAUCAUUGUUUUAAGUGGCACUGCUUUAAAUGUAUAGUGCAAAUGUCAACCAAGUCAGGCCACUGGCUCAUCUACCUCAGUACCGGCCAUGGUUUUCGAGGGUCUCAUCAUGCAAGGCAGAUGCUAUAGCACUGAGCUACAGCCCUCCCACUUGAGGAGAAAGGGUGCUGCUGGAACUGAAGAUACAAUAUUAAGUUUGUGGGUGACAAGCGUACCAGAGGAGUGAGGACAGCAGAGAGUAAGAAAGAAAUGUAGAAAGAUAUUGCUAGAGGAAAAGAAUUCAAAACUUACAUACCGCCCUUCCUUUAGCAGUUGUAUAAUUAGGUGCC